Non-coding RNA from Ixodes scapularis (black-legged tick), 73 nucleotides. The record is from Rfam. NCBI's taxonomy places the organism in Eukaryota, Metazoa, Arthropoda, Arachnida, Ixodida, Ixodidae.
UCUUGGUUAGCUGAGUUGGUAGAGCGCUCCACUGGAAAUGGAGAGGUCUCUGGUUCGAUAGCAGGACCACGCA